This 502-nucleotide ribosomal RNA is filed under the name uncultured bacterium. RNAcentral describes it as "partial 16S ribosomal RNA". It matches the Rfam family "Bacterial small subunit ribosomal RNA", at positions 28 to 523 of the family's 1533-position model. The record is from RNAcentral.
GAUGAACGCUAGCGGCAGGCCUAACACAUGCAAGUCGAGGGGCAGCACAGAAACAGCUAUGUUUUGGUGGCGACCGGCGGACGGGUGCGUAACGCGUAUGCAACCUACCUUUAACAGGGGGAUAACGGAGAGAAAUUUCCACUAAUACCCCAUAACAUCGAUCAAGGCAUCUUGAUUGGUUGAAAACUCCGGUGGGUAAAGAUGGGCAUGCGUUGUAUUAGGUAGUUGGUGAGGUAAUGGCUCACCAAGCCUACGAUACAUAGGGGGACUGAGAGGUUAGCCCCCCACACUGGUACUGAGACACGGACCAGACUCCUACGGGAGGCAGCAGUGAGGAAUAUUGGUCAAUGGGGGCAACCCUGAACCAGCCAUGCCGCGUGCAGGAAGACGGCUCUAUGAGUUGUAAACUGCUUUUAAACAGAGAUAAAGCACAGUAUGUAUACUGUGUUGAAGGUACUGUAAGAAUAAGGAUCGGCUAACUCCGUGCCAGCCGCCGCGGUAA